CUAUCCCUCUUAUAAAAACUCGUAAUAACAAAGACGAGGGAAGAAAAUAAUCUAAUUAAUACAACAACAUAUGCAACCAAACGCAGUUUAACUUUUCUUAAUGCUUCUUCAUCCGGUUCCUGAAAAGGUAAAGCUGUAGGGGGUGAGAACCUAACCA
Arachis ipaensis is the source of this 157-nucleotide non-coding RNA. The record is from RefSeq and is a predicted model, not a curated record. NCBI's taxonomy places the organism in Eukaryota, Viridiplantae, Streptophyta, Magnoliopsida, Fabales, Fabaceae.